CCUACGGGGGGCUGCAGUGGGGAAUAUUGCGCAAUGGGGGAAACCCUGACGCAGCAACGCCGCGUGAGUGAGGAAGGACUUCGGUCUGUAAAGCUCUGUUAAUGUGGAAAAAUGGCAGUUGGUCUGAUAGGCCGAUUGUUUGAUGGUACACAUAGAGGAGGCACCGGCUAACUUCGUGCCAGCAGCCGCGGUAAUACGAAGGGUGCAAGCGUUGUUCGGAUUUAUUGGGCGUAAAGCGCGCGUGGGCGGACCUGCAAGUCAGAUGUGAAAUCUCGGGGCUCAACCUCGAAACUGCGUCUGAAACUACAGGUCUAGAAUCUUGGAGGGGGAAGGGGAAUUUCGCAUGUAGGGGUAAAAUCCGUAGAUAUGCGAAGGAACACCAGAGGCGAAGGCGCCUUCCUGGACAAGUAUUGACGCUGAGGCGCGAAAGCGUGGGGAUC
Molecule: ribosomal RNA, 440 nt
Filed under: uncultured bacterium
Lineage: Bacteria
Description: bacterial SSU rRNA
Rfam family: Bacterial small subunit ribosomal RNA
Source: RNAcentral